GCAAACCUAUUAGCAUGUAGGUAGUGUAAUGGACUACCUAUGCAGUGAUGGGUGACGGGAAAUUGGGGUUUUAUUCCGGAGAGGGAGCCUGAGAGAUAGCUCCCAUGCCCAAGGGCAGCAGCAGGCGCGAAACUUGUCCACUCUUCUGCGAGGAGACAGUCAGGAAACGUGAAAUGAAAGGAGGGAGUGUAAACUACUACCUGUGAGGCUAUUGUUGGGCAAGCUUGGUGCCAGCAGCCGCGGUAAUUCCAACAACAAGAAUGUCUAUGAUUGAUGCUGCAGUUAAAAAGUCCGUAGUUGUAUAUGCAAUGAAAAAACACUGAUUAAGGGUGUUAGAUUUGUUCGCAUUGGCGGAAUGGACAGGGAGCACAGUAUAGAUGGGCGAAGGAUGAAAUCUCAAGACCCUAUCUGGACUGACAGAAGCGAAGGCGGUGCUCUUGUACAUCUCAGAGAAUCAAGGACGAAGGCUAUAGUAGUGAUGGCGAUUAGAGACCGCCGUAGCUUUAGCAGUAAAUUAUGCCGACAUUCUCUAUCGGAAGAUGGGGAAGGGAGAAAUCUUAGUGUACGGGCUCUGGGGAAAAUACGAUCGCAAGAUUGAAACUUAAAACGAAA
This 612-nucleotide ribosomal RNA is filed under the name Hepatospora sp. RA08133-6. Its description in RNAcentral is "bacterial SSU rRNA". It matches the Rfam family "Microsporidia small subunit ribosomal RNA", at positions 167 to 786 of the family's 1311-position model. Lineage: Eukaryota; Fungi; Microsporidia; Hepatosporidae. The record is from RNAcentral.